Long non-coding RNA from Tigriopus californicus, 2706 nucleotides. RefSeq lists it as uncharacterized. The transcript has 2 exons. NCBI's taxonomy places the organism in Eukaryota, Metazoa, Arthropoda, Copepoda, Harpacticoida, Harpacticidae. The record is from RefSeq and is a predicted model, not a curated record.
ACAGCGUUUAUGAAAGUGCUUACAUUGAGUGGUGCCAUUAUAAGAAAUGUUCUCUGCAUUCGUACGUAUAUCUCGCUCCUAGGGACGGUUGAAUCGGUGGGUAGACCACAGAGAGCAAAGCCAGCCUUGACCAACUAUAAGUUAUGGGGGCAAUUCCAGUCCCAGGGCCAAUUCAUCUAUGGUGGCAAGCUCAUUCAUUUCAAUUGUCAAAUUUGCCCUUAAUUGGUCUCUGAGAGUCUUGGGUUGGGCGAUGCCAAGUUUGCCAUGAUGCAAAUAAGCUCAACACCCACAGAGCUAUUAUCAAUGCUUCAUGUUAGUCAUGCCCCUCUCUGGAUCAUCAUCCAAUAUUGUCCUGACAUGGAGGCUGAGAAUUGGUGGUGACAUUGAUGCUUAGUAUUAAUCAUUAAAUUGAGGAGUCUUUCGGCUCAAUUUAUGGUUCAUUUGACCUCCACAGUCUCGGUGUCAUAACUUGAUUCUAUCUUGCCUACCUAAUGAGAUUACAUUAUUCAAUAUCACGUGGUGAGAAGGUAGCUAUUUGGGCUCAUUUGAGUUGAUGAACACUUGCUGCAAGGAAGAUUGAGCGUUGUUUUAUCUAAUUUAUUUUGUCUUGAGAAGCCAGCAUGUGCUUUAAUGAAAGAGUGACAAGACUACAAUUAAACAGGAACACCUCUUGAGCCUCAUUUGUUUAAAACCCAUUUCCAUUUAUCAAACUCAGGUUCUACCAAAGCCCAGUAACACGCAAAAAAUUGCCAAAUAUGCCUAAAAAUAGUACGCUCUUCCCGAAAAACCAGAAAGAGACACCAAAGGGCAUCCAAACCUGCUAAAUUCUUGGGUUCCGUAAUCAUGAAAAUAAUGAGGCACAAGCUUGCACAUUCAAACUUUGGUUUGGAUUAAAUCUAUGCAUGUAAGUAAGUAGUUUUACCUAACCUUAAUUUCAAAACCAUUGUCUUGCGAGGAAUACCACUAGAUUAAAGGGACCAAUAAAAUCCGCAGAUCUGCCUGAGCUCAUUUGUCAAAUCAUGGGGAGGAAGCCAAGCCACUUACUCUUGUCCAUGUUGUAUCGUCCUCUGCGAACAUGUCUUACUAAUGACCUGGGUGGGCUCUUUCGGCUCAAUUAGGGUCACCAAAAGGUCCGUUAAUCACUUCUGAACCUUUCCCAAGGCCCCUUAUCUCCUCCGUUCUGUUAAUAUGAGAACCCAUAGAUUUGUCUGCGUAAUGAGGCCCGAUACUCAUCUUAAUUGGUUUGACGACCAGAAGUAUCGGAAUAUAUGUUUCUGGUCAGCUUUACGAUCCCCGGCCCGCCCAUCUUCGCAAACAAAUUGGACUGCCUGCAAACGAGAUUAAAUAGAAAGCGCUAUUUUCUUCCUCAAAGUUCAGAACGCGGCUUUGAGGCUCAAGACUUCUGAGGUUUGACUGAGAAGCCUAUUUUAAAGGACUAAAGUACAUACAACACCAACAUGUUUGCAAGGAAAAGAAGUAGUCCAGCUUUGCCUUAAUUGGCAGUUCCCGUUUAUGAAGAACAAGACAUGAAAUUAGUCUCCUAAUUGAGGGUAGUGGUCCAAUUACUCCGAAACGAAUGUCGAACUGAUGAGGCUCAUCCUUAAAAAGCUAUCAACUCUUUUAAGUUGUGUUUUCUUCUUGCUGAUUUUGUCUACAUAACCGGUGAAUAGAGAGCGCAUGAAUUGAUUAACCAUCCACAGCAUCAAAAUAUAACCUUCUUGCAAGGAGGCCUUUGCAAUCUCAAAGAACCUUCGUCUUUCCGAUUCGAAAUGUGUCCUCGUCAAUAUUAACCACCAUUUUCAAGACGUUCGACUUGCUUGUCCUGGAGCGGGAAAUCGAAAUUUGAAUUUCGGGGAUGUCAAUCAAUUUCCUGAACGAGCAGGUGGAUAAAGGUCAUGAGAAGUGAAGACUCGUCCGCCUGUCUGAGUCAGUUCGAUAGGGCAGGAAGGGGCCUGAAUGAUACAUAAUCACCGCUCUGUCAGGGAGAAAACGUCGGAAAUCUCGCCUUGAUUUGUCUCCAAAAUGCCGAGCCACCAACCAUGUUUUACUGUCAUAAGCCCUCACCAAUGUUCGGUGCGUUCAAAUCCUCAGAAAAAGACGGGGAUGUCAAUGGCCUUGAGACGACUUUUUGGGCAGCGGACUGCCCCUCCCUUAUCAAUCUAAGAUGGAUAACCGGGUAAAGAAGCCUCACCCCUUAAACAGACUCAUCCUUCACCCACUAAAAUGUCUACCUUUUUUCAGGGAUACGAUCCAAUCUGGCCAUCAAUGAGGAUUUCGGGAGGAUUAAUUUGGGCUAGGCCGAUGCCGUUCUGUCUCUGUCCAGCCUCCUGAGUCUUGAUUCCACGCCCAAGUGCUCCUCACAGUAUGGGGAAUGAUGAUCUUGGACACCUCAGAUCGGCAUCAUUUUUCAUAGACCUCUGGAGUGGAUGUGUCUAAAUCUUGCUCGAAUCUUGACGGUAGAAACCAUUGAUGGGACCGUAUUGGUGCCCAGAGGAACACGUCUACUUUAUCUAAGCUCUAUUGUCCUCGUGAUUUGAGUGAGGAGAACCCCAUCAAACCAAAUUUUCGAGAUACCGCAUCAAAAACACAAAAACUGAUGAUUCACCCUGAACUCGUAAAAUCUGCCGAUCAAUAUGGCUGCUCUUCGCUCCCAAUCUUCAGCAUGACUCUAGAUCACUUUAAAAAAAAGAAAAGGCUCGAAAGUGC